Rosa rugosa (rugosa rose) is the source of this 2623-nucleotide long non-coding RNA. RefSeq lists it as uncharacterized. The transcript has 3 exons. The record is from RefSeq and is a predicted model, not a curated record. NCBI's taxonomy places the organism in Eukaryota, Viridiplantae, Streptophyta, Magnoliopsida, Rosales, Rosaceae.
AGUGCCAGAGCUAGAAUUGAGUGGAAGGCCUUCAAACAGUCAGCCCAAUUUCCUGCAGAAGCAAAACUGGAAAACUGGACCCGUAAGGAGUCCAGCAGAGAUUCUGGCCCAAAGGCAUGGAAAUAAAUUCUGAAAUUUUACCAAAAUGAUCUACACUCAUGGUAGAUCAUUUCAUAUGAAGAAGUCAAGAGCCAAAACUGAAUUCCUGUUGGAGAAAUAAUUGAAGGAAUAAAGGGGCAGAAACUGACCUAAAACCAGCUCAAUAUUCACAUGUUCAUGUUUCCUAUCCACAUGAAGAAAGCUAGAUGCUUUUCUCUUUUUCCUUGGAUAUAUUUUUCUGCUCCAAUAGAUCAUCAUCACUUCCAUACUUCUGCACCUUCAUGCCUUGCUUUCAUUUCAUCAUUACUCCAUCUUUUCCAUAUUUUACAAACCACUUUCAUUAUUUUUCUUCCAUUUAUCAUUUCACUCUUCUUUUUCUUCCCUAUAUAAACACCUUCUCCUCUCACUCUAAACACAUUCCUUCAUCCAUUUCAUCUUCUUUGUCUCUCCAUUUCCAUUCCAUUUUUCUCUCCAUUCUCUAGUUGCAAAAUUCUGCGUUUUCAAGUAAGAAGAAGAAGAAGAAGAAGGAGCCGGGAAUAUCAUAUCCUCCAUCGUCCACCUUGAAGGCUUGCUUCCAAGAUUCAAGAUUUCAACGUUUCAAGCACUCCAUCUCCAUCUCCAACUCACGGUGUGUACCCUCAAUCCCCGGAAUAGAACGAUCCCUAUUUGCUUAUACUUCUAACGAUGUUUUCAGGGUUAAAUUAUGCGCUUGCUUUUAGCGUAUCAGCGUAUACCAGCCCAACCUGACCUACUACCUCCUCAGCCUACACCUGCACCAAAUCCUAACCCCAAUCUCUCUCCAAACCCUAAUCUUAUUCCCCUUCCUACCCAUGAUCUCGCUCUCUGCCCGUCCUAGCACUUUCAUGAACCCAAUGUUCAUCUUCGUGAUUAUAUCUGUUACCAGGCGAUUCUACCUUCACACCAUCUAUCAUCUCCUCUGUCAAGUCCUCCACCAAGUACAAGUUACCCUUUUUGUAAUUUCAUCUCUUAUCAACGGUACUCAUCUUCCCAUCUUUCUUAUGUUACUUACAUUAAUAGGGUUGAGGAGCCCUUUUCUUAUGCAGAUGCAGCCUUUGAUCCUAAAUGGUAACAAGUAAUGGAAGAUGAACUUGUCGCUCCCACUGCCAACAACACUUGGACACUUGUCCCUCUUCCUCUUGGCAAACAUCUUAUUCCUUACAAGUGGGUAUAUCGAAUUAAAUAUAAUGUUGAUGGUUCUAUUGAGAGCUAUAAAGCUCUCAUUGUUGCUAAGGGCUUUACUCAAGCUGUUAGGAUUGAUUACCAUGAUACUUUUUUACCCACAACAAAGAUGAUUAUUGUUCGCUACCUCCUUGUCGUUGAUGUCUGUUAAGGCUGGUUUCUUCACAAGCUUGGCGUUAAUAAUGUUUUUCUUAAUAGUGAUUUGCAUGAAGAAUUGUACAUGUCUACUCCUCCAGGUCUUCGGCGACAAGAGGGAAUUAUGUGUCACCUUAACAAAUCCCUAUAUGGUUUGAAGCAAGCUUCUCGUCAAUGGUUUGCCAAGUUUACGGAAGCAAUUCUUGCCAUCGGAUUCACUCAAUCAAAGGCUGACUACUCUCUUUUAUCCAAGGUGUAAAGCCAGUUGAUUUUCUCAUGGAAGAAGCCUAGCUUAUCAAAUACAGGUGAGCUACUUAAGGAUCCGGUUGCAUAUUAAUGUUUGGUUAGACAUCUCGAUCAUAUACCUUCUAAUCACCAGAUUAUCUAUUCUAUUCAUGUUCUUAGUAUAUUCAUGCAUGAGCCGUGUCAACCUCACAUGACUGCUACACUUCGAGUUGUCAGAUACUUGAUAUCCUCUCCUGGCCAAGGUUUGCUUUUACGUUUCAGAUUGGGCCGGUUGUCCUAUUACUCAUCGGUCUGCCACUAGAUAUUGUGUUUUCUUAUGAGAAUUUUUGAUCUCAUCGAUCACGUACCAAAAGACAAAAGACGAUCUCAUUGUCUAGUGCCGAGGCCGAGGGUAGAGCAAUGGCUGAUACAUAUUGUGAACUCACUUGGUUGCAUAUUUGUUUGCUAAUUUGCAUAUGCCCAUUACCAUACCUACCAUUUUACAUUAUGACAAUCAAGCAGCUCUACACAUAGCCGCAAACCCACUUUUUCAUGAGAAAACACUUCACAUUGAAAUGGAUUUGUCAUUUUAUUCAAGACAAGAUAUUGAAUGGUACCCGAUAUGUUGGUUUUUUACAGCAAUUAGCAUAUAUAUUCACAAGGGCGUUAGGCAAAUUAAGACGAAUUCAAAGCCUUGUUGUGCAAGUUGGGAGUCAAGUACUCUCCAACUUGAGAGGGAGUAUUCAAAAUAUUUUGUAAUUAAUAUUGUAAUAUUUUGUAUCUCUAAUUUGUAGAGAUUUAUUUGUUGUACAAGAAGCUAAUUUGUAUUAUAUCAAUGAGAACAUUAUUCCAUCUCAAAUACAACCUCAGUUGUCAACUCAAGGAGUUACAAUAAGAUUUAUUCCAAAUGGGAAACUAAAUAUACAACUAUAUAAAUCCAAGACUGCUAAGUGCUAACUGAGGG